Molecule: ribosomal RNA, 253 nt
Filed under: uncultured bacterium
Lineage: Bacteria
Description: partial 16S ribosomal RNA
Rfam family: Bacterial small subunit ribosomal RNA
Source: RNAcentral
UACGUAGGGGGCAAGCGUUAUCCGGAUUUACUGGGUGUAAAGGGAGCGUAGACGGCGAUGCAAGCCAGAUGUGAAAGCCCGGGGCUCAACCCCGGGACUGCAUUUGGAACUGUGUGGCUGGAGUGUCGGAGAGGCAGGCGGAAUUCCUAGUGUAGCGGUGAAAUGCGUAGAUAUUAGGAGGAACACCAGUGGCGAAGGCGGCCUGUUGGACGAUGACUGACGUUGAGGCUCGAAAGCGUGGGGAGCAAACAGG